CACCGCCGCGGUAAUACCGGCGGCCCGAGUGGCGGCCACUAUUAUUGGGCUUAAAGCGUCCGUAGCCGGGUUGGUUAGUCUCCCGGGAAAUCUGGCCGCUUAACGGUCAGAAUUCCGGGAGAUACUGCCAGCCUAGGGACCGGGAGAGGCCGAGGGUAUUCCCGGAGUAGGGGUGAAAUCCUAUAAUCCCGGGAGGACCACCUGUGGCGAAGGCGCUCGGCUGGAACGGGUCCGACGGUGAGGGACGAAGGCCAGGGGAGCAAACCGGAUUAGAUACCCGGGUAGUCCUGGCUGUAAACGAUGCGGACUUUGUGUCGGACAAGCUAUGAGCUUGUCCGGUGCCGGAGGGAAACCGUUAAGUCCGCCGCCUGGGGAGUACGGCCGCAAGGCUGAAACUUAAAGGAAUUGGCGGG
Molecule: ribosomal RNA, 413 nt
Filed under: uncultured microorganism
Description: bacterial SSU rRNA
Rfam family: Archaeal small subunit ribosomal RNA
Source: RNAcentral